UACGUAGGGUGCAAGCGUUAAUCGGAAUUACUGGGCGUAAAGCGUGCGCAGGCGGUUGUGCAAGACAGAUGUGAAAAUCCCCCGGGCUCAACCCGGGGAAUUGCGCUUGAGACUGGGCUGGCUUGAGUGCGGCAGAGGGGGGUGGAAUUCCACGUGUAGCAGUGAAAUGCGUAGAGAGUGUGGAGGAACACCAGAUGGCCGGAAGGCAGCCCCC
RNAcentral lists this ribosomal RNA (214 nucleotides) under uncultured bacterium. RNAcentral describes it as "partial 16S ribosomal RNA". It matches the Rfam family "Bacterial small subunit ribosomal RNA", at positions 524 to 729 of the family's 1533-position model. The record is from RNAcentral.